Molecule: long non-coding RNA, 4891 nt
Organism: Daphnia pulex (common water flea)
Lineage: Eukaryota; Metazoa; Arthropoda; Branchiopoda; Diplostraca; Daphniidae
Exons: 20
Source: RefSeq, a predicted model, not a curated record
CGCUGUUGCUGUGGCAGUGUGGCUGCUGGAGUUUGCCUAUUUUCGACUUUUCGGGUUUCGCCUCGUGGUCAAUAAUGGCGUGGCCGGUCGUCUGUCUGACAAUGACUGCAGAAAAACCGCUGUCCUUAAUAAAGGUUUGAAGAAUCUCUUGCUUCUUUACUUCUAUGCAUGUCUCAUCUAAUGCAGAAUCACUUCAUAGCAAAGCCUACCCCUUUUACCAUUCCCAACCUGUCCUUCCUUCUACAAAAUUUUUCAACUGACUACUCUUGGGCUACUACUUUCCCAAUUUUUACUAAAGCUACGGUGUGAUGGAAGUCAAACUCAGCCCCUUCUUGCCUUCUGUUUCCUUGAAUGUCAAAUCAGUAGCUCCGCUCAAAACAGAAAUUAAAUGCAGACAAAUCUGGUCAAGUGAGCUAUGUCUGGGCAACUGAUUUCAGUUUGUAUCUGUUUUCUGUGUUCUCGUCUUUGUGAGCUGUGUGGCCCUAUAGUGCAGGAAUAAUAUAGUGACGUUCUGGAGAAAAUGCAUGCUUGCUUGCUUUCGAUAAUGCCUUGGCACUUAAUGCAUGUAUGUGGCUCAUUUGAUCCUGACUCUGGAAACUAGACAAAGUUUCACCCAUCAAAUUGGUUCCCCUGAACUCAGUUCCUCUGAUAAAUUUGUUCAGAAAAUUCAGCAGUUGGCUGGCCAUAUGCCACAUCUUCCUAGAGUAUAUCGAAUAGUAGUGCAAUCUACCUCUGGCUAUCCCCAAAGAAACUUGUGUUUUAACUGAUAAAUUGUUGAUCAAGACUUUCGUCCAGUGCAUUCAUCCAUCCAGUACAAUAAGUUGCAUUCAAUCCACAGCUAACAAAAGUUUUCGCCAAGAAGAUUAUUAGUGGAUAAACUCUUCUCUUUAAUUCGCAUUUAACAGCGCCAUUGGGGCACCUUUGAUAAAUGAGUGAACUAUUACGUCAUACCAUCGACAACGAAAUCGUCCCCUGUUGGAAUGUAGGAUUGUCUCGACUGCGAACAACUCCAACUGGGAACAAGCUGUCUUUCCUCGUCAGCUGAUUGAUCAAAUUUAGUCAUCUUCAAUGUGAUUCCCUUGACAGUAAUUGUGAAGCAUGAGCGACAGCCGGGAACGGCAACAGUGUUCUUCAAAUGAUCUCCAGUUCAUCAGCUGCUGCCGAAUUAUCUUCGGAUCACGAGCUUAUUAUUCGCCCUUUCUGUUUGUUUGAUAAUUAUUUGUUUGGCCAGUUGCGUCGACUCCAACAAUUGCUGCCCAUGUCACCGCACUACUUCCGCCACUAGACAAGUGGGAAAAGGACUUAAAACGUUUCAUUCAUCGUUGAUAUCUCGCAGGCGUUAGUACUCCGGGAAAGAGCCGACAGCUAAAGUCUGCCCCCAAUUCUCUUAAAACGGAUAACGAAGUCCUUUUUUCCAAUAGGGAAUUGCGCCGGACCACUCCCGACCUGCUUGUGACUUACCUCUAAUCGAUAUUUUCGAUGUGAAAACGGAGCGACACAGGAAGAAGAAAUGAAGAGAAGGCAUUGACAUCGUGUUUCUACCUUGCCUGUGGUUCGAGGUAUUGAGUUCGACCCGGUGGUGCAGCACUUCUACUGGAUAGACUGGAGUUAACUAACAAUUCGUCGUGCGCUAGAUAACAGUAUCCAGGCUUCAGUCGUUAUGGCCAAUCCAACACUAGUUCUCUUUUGGAGUUGCUCUAGGUUAAAUGCGAUCAACGCUACCAGAAUCGAUAGUCAUAUUUCUGUUGGUAUCCUGGUUGGAGGUCCGUCUUCACCAACUUGCCGUCCCAAAUCGAAUGGUGCCGUAUACGACGGAAAUAAUCGCGACAAGAUAAGAGAAUCGCGACAAGAUAAGAGAAAUAGAUAUCGACCAACCUUCAGCGCCGACUAUCGACACAGAAGAGAAGAUGAUAUUUUGAGCUGACACCAAACAACCGCAGGAAGUUGACCCCUUCUAAAUUAGUCAAGCCUACAGCAUCAACAGUUCACGGACAGCACAAUUAUUUGUUGGAGAAAGAAGGCGGUGGAGAAAACGGCGUUCCAUUCCCAGGAGGUACGCAGAUAUUGGAAACGAGUGAUCGAAUACGAUUUCCUUUUCUCAGUUGUGUUGAAGAUGGCAAGCUAUAAAUCACAAAUAGAUCAUCCGAGUCCGAGCAUAUGGAAUAAGAAUUAUUCAGAUCACAAAGAUGAACUAUCAACCCAAAUCAGAAAAUGCAACUGACGGCCGGUAAAGUUUUGUUCGCGCUGGAAGAAUAACGGAAACAUCUCCAACUCUUCUACCGAUUUCCGAUGGAGUUCUGCUAUGUUACCCAUGUUAGUUCUAAGAAGGAAAAAUUUUAGAGUUGUGCAGCCUACUGUCCACUCAGUUCAAAAUCAUUCUACUCUACUGAAGGUGCCAUCAAAAUAAUACAGGAUUCAUCUCUCAUUCCAUCUUCUGGAGAAUCUAGGAUAACUGAUCGGUGGUUUAUUCAUGUAGAAGUUCACUUGUCUUUUCACUGAACCAAAUCGUCCAAUAUCGCAAAUCUGCAGAAGUGAGCAUGUGACAAACUCAUAUGUAAGUGAUCUGAUUAUCCUUAUGGCGACGUUUUGAAGUAGUAGGAUGAAGGUGGUUAGUUUUUUUCUACAUUUAAUCAACUUUUUGCUCUUCUAUCUAUGAUAACCAGUGGUUUUUGAAGUUUGUUAGGUUUGUUUUUUUUCUUCAAAAGGUUGGGUUAGAAUAUUUUUCUCAAGGUUGGUGCAUUUUUCGGGAUUGGAAUUUCCUUAUGGCGACGUUUUGAAGUAAUAGCCAAUGGAACGAAGGUGGUAAAUAUUUUCUACGUUUUAUCAAUAUUACGAUUACAAGUUGUUGAUUUUUCUUAAAAGGCAGGGUUAGAAUUUUGGUCAAAAGGUUGGGGCAUGGGUUGGGGUGGGGUUAGAAUUUUUGUCAAAAGGUGGGGUUAAAAUUCGUCCACCAGAGGGGUUUGGUGUUGCAGUCAGUGAGUCAUGUCAAGGCAUUCAGGUGCAGACUGUAGAACUGGGACGCCGCACGUCUGCGUUUUAGCAUGUCAGCAAACUUAAAAGUUUUGCAUCGUGAAGAUCAAAGUCCCACUCCCAGUGUAGACGUCUGACCAUGUGUCCUGAUCCUGAAAGUGCUGUCGUUGCUGUCCGUAUGCAGAAAUGUCGUCUCGUUCUAGAAAGUAGAAACUUGAAUACAAUGUGCCUCAUAUCUUGCCGAGUUGGUGUUGGAGAAGGGAUAUGCUUGCUACUGUGGGGUCUGAAAGCUUACAAUAUAUACUUGUCAACUCCAUGUGUUGUUGUGGAGUGCUCUACAAUUUCUGAAGACUUUCACUGCAUGUUGAGAUGUUUUGUUGCAUGGAGAAGUACUUUUACUUUGAAGAGGAAAUGUGCAAGGGCCAUGCAGCUUACUGUCCACUAUUUUGUUCAUAAUAAUUGUUAUCUACUGAAUUCCAAAGCUUAAACAAUCUUUUUCCCUAACUUUUGAAAGGUAGAUUAAUUCGAGCUGUUGAAUGAUGGUGUUUGCUGCUCAAUGCGAAGAUGGUGAAAGGAGUGCUCGACUCAGAAUAAGCUGCUAUUGUCUCUGGUGUUGGUGAAUCUACAUUCAAAAAACCGGUCUUUAACUUCUUUGGACAUGAGGUAACAUUGGCAGUUCCUUCAAUUUAUAUUUCGCCAUUCAAUUUAUCAUGCGACCUGCCUUCCCAAAAUGUCGUCUCUUGCUGUAUGUUGCAUAUUUCGUCAAAAGAUGAGUUAUUUUCUCGCCAUUCGUCUAAGCUGAACCGAUAGUGAACCAAUUUAAAGCAACAGGUGAUUUCCUUUUCUCCACAGUGUGGUCGCUGCUGUGCGAUGAAGACGGUCUUUGUGAGGGUCUACUAUGUUGCAAGACAAACUUUUUGAAAGGAGGGAAUCUGUUAAGAGAUUGAGGAUAUGGCAAAGGCUGAAUUUCAUUGCUGACAUGCAGGUGAUUUUGUUGCAGACAGCUGGUGAAAGCGAGGGCAAGUCAAGUUUAGCUGAAGCUUCUGGAAGUAGUCUACAUUGCUGGUGUCAUCCUGAAGAGGGGUAGUGUUACUUGAAAUGUAACAGCAACAAAGACAUCUUGAAAAGGACUUGGUGACAGUGUUAAGUGGCAAUCUGCUGCAUGCAUUUCAUGAGAAGAUGGUGUUAUCCAUAAGUGUUGCAGGGAGACUUGGAGCAUAGAUGCAAGAAAACCUCUAGAAAUGGUGAUUUUGUUGCAGCCAGCUGGUGAAAGAGAGUUCAAGUCAAGUUUAACUGAAGCUUCUCAAAGUAGUCUACAUUGCUGGUGUCAUCCCGAAGAGGGGCAGUGUUGCUUGAAGUGUAACAGCAACAAAGACAUCUUGAAAAGGACUUGGUGACAGUGUUAAGUGGCAAUCUGCUGCAUGCAUUUCAUGAGAAGGUGGUGUUAUCCAGAAGUGUUGCAGGGAGACUUGGACCAUAGAUGCAAGCAAACCUCUAGAAAUGGAGUUGGUGGAAAUCUUAAGUGAUUUUGCUGUCUGGUUCCUGUUCAAGCUGUUUGUAUACUGUAUCUGCUGAAAUCUUCGAAAUAGCUGAUGCUGAUAUUAUCCUUCAAUUGGUUUUCCAGUGCAAUUUUGUUUGUCUACUACAAUAUUUUGUCUUCUUUGUUUUCAUCUGUGUAGUGUAUAAUUCGAACUAUUUGAUAUUUAGAUUUUCAAUGUGGUAUGUUGCAAUUAAUGUUGGUGAAAGUUCUUUGUGCGGUUGUCUUCGUUGUCUAAACUCUAAAAGCAAUUUUUCAAUUAUUUACUUCAUACCAGAAACCUAAACCUGAAAAUUACUUGUUUAAUUUUGUAAACUUAAUUGCUGUUUCAUCAAAUCAUGUAUAAAACUCGUUAAAUAUACAAUUAUUCGUUCAAAUUCGAAA